RNAcentral lists this ribosomal RNA (253 nucleotides) under uncultured Alkaliflexus sp. RNAcentral's name for it is "partial 16S ribosomal RNA". It matches the Rfam family "Bacterial small subunit ribosomal RNA", at positions 524 to 776 of the family's 1533-position model. Lineage: Bacteria; Pseudomonadati; Bacteroidota; Bacteroidia; Marinilabiliales; Marinilabiliaceae. The record is from RNAcentral.
UACGGAGGAUGCGAGCGUUAUCCGGAUUUAUUGGGUUUAAAGGGUGCGUAGGCGGAGACAUAAGUCAGUGGUGAAAACCUGCAGCUUAACUGUAGAAUUGCCGUUGAUACUGUGUUUCUUGAGUAUGGUCAAGGCAGGCGGAAUGUGUAAUGUAGCGGUGAAAUGCUUAGAUAUUACACAGAACACCGAUUGCGAAGGCAGCUUGCUGGGCCAUUACUGACGCUGAUGCACGAAAGCGUGGGGAUCGAACAGG